GUCACUGUGACCCGAAAUAGUAAAAUGGUUUCCGGAUGAUAAUUCAAGAACGCUUAUGCCUAGGAUCAUGAAACUUGAUAGAUAGAUUGAUCAUGACUGGCAGAUGACCCCUAUUGAUUUUCAGGUCACUAGGUCAAAGGUCAAGGUCACGGUGACCCGAAAUAGUAAAAUGGUUUCCGGAUGAUAACUCAAGAACGCUUAUGCCUAGGAUCAUGAAACUUGAUAGGUAGAUUGACCAUGACUCGCAGAUGACCCCUAUUGAUUUUGAGGUCACUAGGUCAAAGGUCAAGGUCACGGUGACCCGAAAUAGUAAAAUGGUUUCCGGAUGAUAACUCAAGAACGCUUAUGCCUAGGAUCAUGAAACUUGAUAGGUAGUUUGAUCAUGACUGGCAGAUGACCCCUAUUGAUUUUCAGGUCACUAGGUCAAAGGUCAAGGUCACGGUGACCCGAAAUAGUAAAAUGGUUUCUGGAUGAUAACUCAAGAACGCUUAUGCCUAGGAUCAUGAAACUUCAUAGGUACAUUGAUCAUGACUGGCAGAUGACCCCUAUUGAUUUUCAGGUCACUAGGUCAAAGGUCAAGGUCACAGUGACAAAACAACAUAUUAACAAAAUGGCUGUCACUACAACUGAGAGCCCAUAUGGGGGGCAUGCAUGUUUUACAAACAGCCCUUGUAUU
This is a long non-coding RNA of Dreissena polymorpha, 676 nucleotides long. RefSeq lists it as uncharacterized. The record is from RefSeq and is a predicted model, not a curated record. The transcript has 2 exons. Lineage: Eukaryota; Metazoa; Mollusca; Bivalvia; Myida; Dreissenidae.